RNAcentral lists this ribosomal RNA (377 nucleotides) under Clostridioides difficile. RNAcentral's name for it is "partial 23S ribosomal RNA". It matches the Rfam family "Bacterial large subunit ribosomal RNA", at positions 1 to 378 of the family's 2925-position model. The record is from RNAcentral. Lineage: Bacteria; Bacillati; Bacillota; Clostridia; Peptostreptococcales; Peptostreptococcaceae.
UGGUCAAGUUAUUAAGGGUGCAGGGCGGAUGCCUUGGCACUAGGAGCCGAUGAAGGACGUGAUAAGCUGCGAUAAGCUUCGGGGAGUUGCACGUAAACUUUGAUCCGAAGAUUUCCGAAUGAGGAAACUCACUUAGAGUAAUGUCUAAGUAUCAUUAAGUGAAUACAUAGCUUAAUGAGGGGAACUCAGGGAACUGAAACAUCUAAGUACCUGAAGGAAGAGAAAGAAAUUCGAUUCCGUAAGUAGCGGCGAGCGAACGCGGAUUAGCCCAAACCAAUAAAGUUUUCUUUAUUGGGGUUGCGGACAUAUCAUAACGAAGAGGUAUCGUAAUUGAAGAGGUUUGGAAAGACCCACCACAGAAGGUAAUAGUCCUGUAU